This 305-nucleotide ribosomal RNA is filed under the name uncultured bacterium. Its description in RNAcentral is "partial 16S ribosomal RNA". It matches the Rfam family "Bacterial small subunit ribosomal RNA", at positions 508 to 807 of the family's 1533-position model. The record is from RNAcentral.
ACAGCAGUAGCCGCGGGAAUACGGAGGGUGCAAGCGUUAAUCGGAAUUACUGGGCGUAAAGCGCACGCAGGCGGUCUGACAAGUCAGAUGUGAAAUCCCCGGGCUUAACCUGGGAACUGCAUUUGAAACUGUCAGGCUGGAGUCUUGUAGAGGGGGGUAGAAUUCCAGGUGUAGCGGUGAAAUGCGUAGAGAUCUGGAGGAAUACCGGUGGCGAAGGCGGCCCCAUGGACAAAGACUGACGCUCAGGUGCGAAAGCGUGGGGAGCAAACAGGAUUAGAUACCCCGGUAGUCCCUGUCUCUUAUAC